GACGAACGCUGGCGGCGUGCUUAACACAUGCAAGUCGAACGGAAAGGCCCUGCUUUUGUGGGGUGCUCGAGUGGCGAACGGGUGAGUAACACGUGAGUAACCUGCCCUUGACUUUGGGAUAACUUCAGGAAACUGGGGCUAAUACCGGAUAGGAGCUCCUGCUGCAUGGUGGGGGUUGGAAAGUUUCGGCGGUUGGGGAUGGACUCGCGGCUUAUCAGCUUGUUGGUGGGGUAGUGGCUUACCAAGGCUUUGACGGGUAGCCGGCCUGAGAGGGUGACCGGCCACAUUGGGACUGAGAUACGGCCCAGACUCCUACGGGAGGCGGCAGUGGGGAAUAUUGCACAAUGGGCGGAAGCCUGAUGCAGCAACGCCGCGUGCGGGAUGACGGCCUUCGGGUUGUAAACCGCUUUCGCCUGUGACGAAGCGUGAGUGACGGUAAUGGGUAAAGAAGCACCGGCUAACUACGUGCCAGCAGCCGCGGUGAUACGUAGGGUGCGAGCGUUGUCCGGAUUUAUUGGGCGUAAAGGGCUCGUAGGUGGUUGAUCGCGUCGGAAGUGUAAUCUUGGGGCUUAACCCUGAGCGUGCUUUCGAUACGGGUUGACUUGAGGAAGGUAGGGGAGAAUGGAAUUCCUGGUGGAGCGGUGGAAUGCGCAGAUAUCAGGAGGAACACCAGUGGCGAAGGCGGUUCUCUGGGCCUUUCCUGACGCUGAGGAGCGAAAGCGUGGGGAGCGAACAGGCUUAGAUACCCUGGUAGUCCACGCUGUAAACGGUGGGUACUAGGUGUGGGGUCCAUUCCACGGGUUCCGUGCCGUAGCUAACGCUUUAAGUACCCCGCCUGGGGAGUACGGCCGCAAGGCUAAAACUCAAAGGAAUUGACGGGGCCCCGCACAAGCGGCGGAGCAUGCGGAUUAAUUCGAUGCAACGCGUAGAACCUUACCUGGGUUUGACAUGGAUCGGGAGUGCUCAGAGAUGGGUGUGCCUCUUUUGGGGUCGGUUCACAGGUGGUGCAUGGCUGUCGUCAGCUCGUGUCGUGAGAUGUUGGGUUAAGUCCCGCAACGAGCGCAACCCUUGUUCACUGUUGCCAGCACGUUAUGGUGGGGACUCAGUGGAGACCGCCGGGGUCAACUCGGAGGAAGGUGGGGAUGACGUCAAGUCAUCAUGCCCCUUAUGUCCAGGGCUUCACGCAUGCUACAAUGGCUGGUACAGAGAGUGGCGAGCCUGUGAGGGUGAGCGAAUCUCGGAAAGCCGGUCUCAGUUCGGAUUGGGGUCUGCAACUCGACCUCAUGAAGUCGGAGUCGCUAGUAAUCGCAGAUCAGCAACGCUGCGGUGAAAACGUUCCCGGGGCU
Molecule: ribosomal RNA, 1346 nt
Filed under: uncultured bacterium
Lineage: Bacteria
Description: partial 16S ribosomal RNA
Rfam family: Bacterial small subunit ribosomal RNA
Source: RNAcentral